CUGCAGGUUACAGGCCUCUUCCUGUGGAGUCGGUUUGCUGCUGCUGUCACACAUGGCAUCUGACACCUGGACAUGGGAGGCGCUGCACUCAGUGACACCAGUCAUUUUCCAGUUGAAGUCUCUGUCACGUCUGGCUGGUGGCACAUUAGGUACCUGGUUGUCUGGAAGGGGAGAAGGGAUUCUGUCACCACUGGCUGUGCCAAAGUUCUCCUGGUGAGUGCUGCUCUGAUGAUGGCCGUGCCCCCCCUGCUCUGUCACAGUGUUUCCUAAAAUGUACAAACAGGUGAUGUAUUGUUUAAUACUGUUUAAGACUUUUGUGAAAAAAAGAGAUUUCAAAAUUAAAAAAAGGCUUAAUAAUAUAUUAAAACAUUUAUGAAAAGUC
Molecule: long non-coding RNA, 382 nt
Organism: Cynoglossus semilaevis (tongue sole)
Lineage: Eukaryota; Metazoa; Chordata; Actinopteri; Pleuronectiformes; Cynoglossidae
Exons: 2
Source: RefSeq, a predicted model, not a curated record